RNAcentral lists this small RNA (19 nucleotides) under Bombyx mori (domestic silkworm). Its description in RNAcentral is "ovarian small RNA-33965". Lineage: Eukaryota; Metazoa; Arthropoda; Insecta; Lepidoptera; Bombycidae. The record is from RNAcentral.
UGCGCGUCGGCGUCACCUA